Molecule: long non-coding RNA, 456 nt
Filed under: Sinocyclocheilus grahami
Lineage: Eukaryota; Metazoa; Chordata; Actinopteri; Cypriniformes; Cyprinidae
Description: lncRNA (ENSSGRG00000013642.1)
Source: RNAcentral
UUCCUUCGUACCACACAAAGAGAUCUACCUCUCUGAUCUCAAAUACUCUGGCUCCUGUGUAGAAAGUGGCCCCUCUCUUUCCCUCACUGCAGCGGAGGCUCUGUUCUCUCGUCUCUCAGGCUCUCUAGGCUGUGUGGCCUUAGGGCUGUACUGGUGAAGAAUGAAGGGCAGUUCAAAUCACAGCUGCAAGAAUUCAGACACACAAGCAAAUUACAUGCAGAUGAGGUUUCAGUAGUCUGCACACUUAUUGAGUAUUGGCUGGCAGAGAUUCUGCCCAUGCAGAGACAGCAGAGGACAUAACGUCCCCAGAUUCAGCACCUGAGAGGAAAAUGACUGAAUAACCAGCAGGUCCCUGAUUGUAAUAUCUCAUUAUGAAAGAGAUCUUCAGUCAUGCUGUUUUAUAGUCAAGGAUGUCAAGAAACUCGGGAUCAAUCAGCUUCAGCAACAAUUCGGAUU